This 1073-nucleotide long non-coding RNA is filed under the name Bos grunniens (domestic yak). Its description in RNAcentral is "lncRNA (ENSBGRG00000024221.1)". Lineage: Eukaryota; Metazoa; Chordata; Mammalia; Artiodactyla; Bovidae. The record is from RNAcentral.
CACAUUAUCCGUUGCUUUGCUGGACUCUGAGCUCCCAUCUCGAUAUCUGAGCCUAUUCUUCUUUGAAAUUCUGGCUUAUAGCAGGGGAUCGAUGAACAUUUGCUGGAUUGAAUGGAAUGGAAUGGAGUGGAAUUACAUUUUAAAAAAGAGGUGAAGGACCUAAUCUGUAUGUGAUCGCUAAGACUCAAUGGAAUGUUCUGGCCGGGUUUAGAGCAGGUUUAUAUUGUUACAUAAAUAACUUUGAAGAGGCAGUUAAUUGUUGAACUCUUAAAGAAGCAAAAUAGCAAUAUUUUAUUCAAAUAUUGUAUUAUUCAUUCAUCCAACAUCUGCUUAUUUAAGGUAUGCUACAAUGUUCUGGAUAUCAAACAGAUACAAAUCCCUGUCCUCCAGUAAGGUAUAUUUAGAACUCAAGGAGUAUGGUGAUUAGGGUAGGCUCUGGGUUCAGUUCUUAGCUUGGUCACUUACUAGCUGUGUGAUCUUGGGAAAUUUACUUAACCUUUCAGUGCCUCAGUUUCCUCAUCUGUAAAAUGAAGAUAAACAAAAGUGUCUGCUUCGUAGGGUUGUUGUGGAGAUAAAUAUGUUAACCCGUGUGAAGCACUUAGAAUAAUGUCUGGCAUAUAGUAUCCACUCAACAAAUGUUAUCCAUAGUUAUUAUUAUCUAAUAGUUGAUUUUACAACUGAGAAAACAGAGGUAUAGACUCCACAUUGGGUGCUGGCAUCUAUCCCCCUCUGGCUCCUCACCGUUUUCCUGGAUUAACACUUACCUGUCUUUAAGGUCUUGGCUUAGAAUCGUUCUGUCUGGAACCUCCACGAAUACAGACAUCUGAGUUAUUGGAAUAAGAUGAAGUUCCUGGGCACUAAAUUGGUGGAGAAGAGAGAGAGGACAACGUGGUGAAGCAGAGAAAGAUGUGGAAGCUUGGGUCCUGCCUUCAAGGCCCACCUUGAGAAGAGGUUCAGGGACACCUGCCGUGGGGUCCAUCUGUCAUGGGCAGAAGCAGAUGGCAUGGCCUCACGGGAUAACAUUUGUAGAAUUGUGCAAACAAGUGUAGUGGAAAUGAUGGUGUGAUGUGGUC